This 279-nucleotide ribosomal RNA is filed under the name uncultured Glomus. Its description in RNAcentral is "partial 18S small subunit ribosomal RNA". It matches the Rfam family "Eukaryotic small subunit ribosomal RNA", at positions 591 to 874 of the family's 1831-position model. The record is from RNAcentral. Lineage: Eukaryota; Fungi; Glomeromycota; Glomeromycetes; Glomerales; Glomeraceae.
CCAAUAGCGUAUAUUAAAGUUGUUGCAGUUAAAAAGCUCGUAGUUGAAUUUCGGGACUAACAGAUUGGUCGUGCCUUUGGUGUGUACUGGUCUAGUUGGUUUCUCCCUUCUGACGAACCACGAUGUCAUUAAUUUGGUGUCGUGGGAAAUCAGGACUGUUACUUUGAAAAAAUUAGAGUGUUUAAAGCAAGCGUUAGCUUGAAUACGUUAGCAUGGAAUAAUGAAAUAGGACGUUUGACCCUAUUUUGUUGGUUUCGAGGAUCGACGUAAUGAUUAAUU